GACGAACGCUGGCGGCGUGCCUAAUACAUGCAAGUCGAACGCACUCUCGUUUAGAUUGAAGGAGCUUGCUCCUAAUUGAUAAACAUUUGAGUGAGUGGCGGACGGGUGAGUAACACGUGGGUAACCUGCCCUAAAGUGGGGGAUAACAUUUGGAAACAGAUGCUAAUACCGCAUAAAACCUAACACCGCAUGGUGUAGGGUUGAAAGAUGGUUUCGGCUAUCACUUUAGGAUGGACCCGCGGUGCAUUAGUUAGUUGGGUGAGGUAAAGGCUCACCAAGACCGUGAUGCAUAGCCGACCUGAGAGGUAAUCGGCCACACUGGGACUGAGACACGGCCCAGA
RNAcentral lists this ribosomal RNA (341 nucleotides) under uncultured bacterium. Its description in RNAcentral is "bacterial SSU rRNA". It matches the Rfam family "Bacterial small subunit ribosomal RNA", at positions 28 to 335 of the family's 1533-position model. The record is from RNAcentral.